Cololabis saira (Pacific saury) is the source of this 825-nucleotide long non-coding RNA. RefSeq lists it as uncharacterized. NCBI's taxonomy places the organism in Eukaryota, Metazoa, Chordata, Actinopteri, Beloniformes, Belonidae. The transcript has 3 exons. The record is from RefSeq and is a predicted model, not a curated record.
UAGGGUGUAGCUACUGAUCCUAUACUACAGCAGAGAGAGUGAGAGUGGAGGGGAGGAGGGACAUCAGGUGUCACAUCUCCACAAACCCUGAUGAAGCUGCAUUACCACGACAACCAGCCUCCCGGGGUACCACCAGCUCCCUGCUCCACCGGCCCCGCACCCAACCGCCUGCCCCGGCCAGCUUCCCUGCAAUCCACCAAUCCAUCCCCGCGACCGGCCCGGCCAGCCCUCCCCAGAACUGGCAACCUGCAGGAGUCAUCAGGCUGCCACAGAUGUUGGAAAGAUGCAAAAGAGAGGAGCCGGCAGAGGUGACGCGACACCCCCCGGAGAGGGCAACUUCUCUGAUUUCCACUGGAAAAAAGCUCUUCCCCAUCAGAGCGCCAUCUGCUGACUCAGUGGGGUGGAACAGCUGGUGUUGUGAAUCAGGCCGCCACAGUGCAGGGACCGGCUACUUCCCAACACCAGGGUCUCACCAUCACUCCUCUCGCCUCGCCGCCAUCAUGGAGCCCAGCUCAUUUGUGUAGAAAAAAUCUUUCUGAUGUGUGUCUCUGAAAAGCACGGAUAGCAGGAAAAGUAGAGCAAAAAUCGUUGUUAUAUAUUUCAGCAAAUGUGAGAAAGAAAAUGGUUAAACUAUGAAAAUUGUAUUUUUGGUCAAAUGAUAAAUAAAUAUUGUGAAUUUCAAAUAUUGAAUUUGCAGUAUAAUUUUGCAUUAAAUACAAAAUAAUCACUUGUUAUUUAAAUAAAAUGUAUGUGUACUAGACUGUCUUUCAUAUUGGGGUCUUCCUUAUUUCCAAAAAAAACACCAUGAAUGAGCACAGUACCAGA